RNAcentral lists this ribosomal RNA (373 nucleotides) under uncultured organism. Its description in RNAcentral is "bacterial SSU rRNA". It matches the Rfam family "Bacterial small subunit ribosomal RNA", at positions 526 to 896 of the family's 1533-position model. The record is from RNAcentral.
CGUAGGGUGCGAGCGUUGUCCGGAAUUAUUGGGCGUAAAGGGCUCGUAGGCGGUUUGUCGCGUCGGGAGUGAAAUCCACUGGCUUAACUGGUGGCUUGCUUUCGAUACGGGCAGACUGGAGGUAUGCAGGGGAGAACGGAAUUCCUGGUGUAGCGGUGAAAUGCGCAGAUAUCAGGAGGAACACCGGUGGCGAAGGCGGUUCUCUGGGCAUGUCCUGACGCUGAGGAGCGAAAGUGUGGGGAGCGAACAGGAUUAGAUACCCUGGUAGUCCACACCGUAAACGUUGGGCGCUAGGUGUGGGAUCCAUUCCACGGGUUCCGUGCCGCAGCUAACGCAUUAAGCGCCCCGCCUGGGGAGUACGGCCGCAAGGCUA